Molecule: long non-coding RNA, 835 nt
Organism: Wasmannia auropunctata (little fire ant)
Lineage: Eukaryota; Metazoa; Arthropoda; Insecta; Hymenoptera; Formicidae
Exons: 2
Source: RefSeq, a predicted model, not a curated record
GGCGGGGAAAAGCAAUGCAACCGAGGGCCAAACUUCACCGACGCCCGAUCGAGUUGAUAUAUACUGUUGUUGAUCGGGCGGAUUAAAUUUUGAGAGUCACCGACUGCUGAACUGAAGACUCUAACCUAUAAUUUCUUAUCAUCUCAAAGCUAAUUUAUUACUAUAUUCACACUACACGUUUUCUUUAUCAUUCGAAUUAAGAUAGAUCUUGGAGUCUUCCUAUUGGCAAUGCCGGUGACAAGAGCUAAUCGGCAGAUUUACGUUGAUUGGAAUAUUGAUGAGACCGGCUCCGUCUGCAGCUGUCAAAUGUUGAUCGGAGGAAAGAGACUGAAAGCGAGACGGAUAUUGGAUACCAAUUGAGCACGCAUUUAUCAUCGAUGGAUAAACGGCGCGCCGCUCGGUCGUGCGGCGAUUUAUUGCCUGAGGGCACCACUUGUCAAGAUACAACGGCGCGGCGCGCGCUUGGUCAUCUGGUCCAGAAAGCCCCGUGCCGGGUCCCGGCGAAAGUGAAGGGUGGAUUAGAAACAAGAAACACAUUGAAUAUUUAUAAAUAACUCGAUACUCGAAUAAUUGAGCGUUAGAUUGAAAAGUCAGCGAAAGUGAAAUGUCCUUGAUAAGAAUAAAUUGUUUCUAUAUGUUAUUUCUCAAUUAUAUUUAUAAUGUAAAUUUAUAGUGUAUAUUUAUAAUGUAAUGUAAAUUAUAAUUUUAACAAAAAUUUCUGAAAGAUCUUAAAAUACAGAAGUAACAAAUAUCUCGGCAUUGUAUGUGCAACAGAAAUUAUUCUUUCUUUUCAAAUAAGUGAAAAAAGUGUGACCAAAUAAAUUACAAAAGGAAA